Molecule: non-coding RNA, 2224 nt
Organism: Cricetulus griseus (Chinese hamster)
Lineage: Eukaryota; Metazoa; Chordata; Mammalia; Rodentia; Cricetidae
Source: RefSeq, a predicted model, not a curated record
UUUAUAAUUUAAAUGAAAUAUGGGGAGAAAGAAAUAAAAGAAAACCUCUCUUAGCAACAACAAAAAAAGCUGUAGUGUAGCCUGUUGAGUUACAGUUUACCCUCUGAUCCAUUCAUCUUUAAUUACAUGUAUUCAUUGUUGAGAGUCAUUGGUCUAGCUUGAGGUCUUGGCCAUCUGCUAUACCACCAAUAAUACGAUCUCACUGGGGCUUCUUCUGAAUGACCUGUUGUUGUCUUGUGUUGUGGAGAUCCUUCUGUUUUGGAUCUGUAGGUUUGUCCCUGUCACAGGCUCCAACAUUUCAUAGAUGAGCAGGAUGUUGAGGUGGACCAAUUCAUAGCCCUGGUUUUGGGUUGAGUGGUAACUGGAUUGGUCAGACCAAUAGACUUUCCUUAUCAGCACUACCAAGAUAAAGAAGUCUCUUAUCAAGGAGAUGUCUCUUUCAACAGAUGGAGACCAGUAUGGCAAAUCAUAUCCAAUAAAAAUAAAGUAUUGUGUGAUCAAGUCCCAUUGGACAUACCUAUACUGUAACUCCUUCAUUUAAGUUUCAGGAAACAUUGCAAAAGGGGGAAACAGAAAAAGUGUAAGAGCCAGAGGAUCAAGGAAUUUUCUGUGCGACUGUGUUUUCUGGAAUGUCAGAAGCCACACCCAUAAAAAACUUAUUAACAUGACUGCCCAAACACAAGCUCAGCAAGGACAAGAGACUUAAAAAAAUACAUGGGAAAAAGCCCAUGAGGCCCAACCCUAUACAAAGAAGUACAAGCAACUAAGUGGUGCUGAAAGUGAGAGAAACAGUCUUCUCUAAAGAAGAUCACACCAAUUGGUUUUCCAAUAACAAAUGGUAAAUCAUGAAAAUCCAUAUAUAAGUAACAUAUACAGACUGAGAAUGUUGUAUUCAUAUAUAUAUAUAUAUAUAUAUAUAUAUAUAUAUUUCUGUAAUGACAAUUAUGAACACACAUAUAUUAUUACUUUUAAUCCUUUAUGCUUUCGACUCUUUGUGUAUGAUUAUUUCUGAUAGUCACAAACUCCUAUAUAAGAUAUCUGGGUAACUUAGUUCUUAAAGAAUGAAUUAACGAAAAAUGAAGGAUAAGAUCUAUAAUUUAAGUUACUAAUCAUCUUCUAUUUCAACUUCCAAGUUUGGAUAGUUAUAAUAAUUUUAGUUCUAUAAUUCAUACUAAUAGUAGUAAUUUUCUUCUUGAAUAUCCCUUCAGAGAUAUUUUUUGGAUAUGAAGACACACAUUUUUAUAUUUUUACAAAAACAUAGUAAUUACUCACUCUUCUAAUAUUCGCUUGUUUUCAUUUAACACUGAACUGUGCAUGUAAUGCCAUAUAUGCUUAUGAAUAUCCCUCUCUAUUUGCCUUAAGCUUUUCAAUUUAAGAAAUAAUCACAUCAGUAUUUAAUCAGACAGCUACUGAUACACAUCGAGGUUAUUUACAAUGUUUUGCUAUCUGUAAAACUGUAACAAUUAUUAAACAAAUAUUUAGCAAUGAUUCCUUAAAUCCUUCUAUGGUAGCUUGCCUUCUCUGUUUUUAGCAUGACUUCUUAGCUUUAGUUCUUUCUGAUGAAGUACUUCUCAUUUUCACCUAAGCUUCAACUCCACUGAAAUUGGGACGACAUCCCUUUUUUAUGGCUCAGUAUUUCGUUGUCUCAUCAUCCUCUUAGAAACUACCACCACAACAAAAAUGAUUUUCUGACUGGGGGAAGAUGAAAUCUCAAAGUGUUUUAUUUUGCAUUUUCCCGCAGACUAAGGACACUGAACAUUUUAAAACCUAAUUCACAACCACUUGUAUUUUUUCUUUUGAAAACUCUGGUUCUGUGACACAAUGUUUAACUAAGUUUUCUGUUUUCAUAUUUUGAGUUAUUUAUAUAUUCUAUCCACCAGGCAACUAUCAGAUGUAAAGCUGUUAAACUUUUUUUUUUCGUCUAUAGUAGGCUUCUUUACAUGAAUGAUAGUUUCCUUUCCUCUACAGAUGUAUUUUAGUUGAAGGAGUUCUCAUUUGUCUGUUGGUCUUAAAUAUUUUCAUUUUCAAUAUUCUUAUUGCUCUUAGAUCAUUUUAAAGGAUAGGAACAAGGAAUAUUAGCUUUAUAAUACCACCAAAACUUUAAAUCAAAAAUAACAAUUACUAUAAUUUGCAAUACUACAUAUAUGAAAAUCCCAUGUCUAUUACAUGCAUUCUAGUUAAUGACUGCUGAUGCUCUAAUAAAUAAAAGAAGAUAAUGACUGUA